Molecule: long non-coding RNA, 481 nt
Filed under: Capra hircus (goat)
Lineage: Eukaryota; Metazoa; Chordata; Mammalia; Artiodactyla; Bovidae
Description: lncRNA (ENSCHIG00000005135.1)
Source: RNAcentral
AUUUGUGCUUUGAAGGGAUGAGUGGGCUGGAAGUUAGGGGUGAUUUAUGCCACAACAGGAAUGGUUAGGAGGCCUGCCAGUUGGCUUUGUCUCACAUGUGACACCUCCCUGGAGCAGGAUUGACACCAGCAAGAGUCACAUGAGCUGGAUUCCAGGUUAAAAGAAGAACACUCCUUCCCCCCGACAAGAAGACACAGUCGAUGCAAGGUGGGUAAAGCUAGACUGACAUUCAUAGGCUCACGUGGACCCGCAGUGAGGAGGCCCGGUACCUCCUGGAACUUACACUGGCUAGUCUAUGAGUCUCAAACACUAUGGAUGCUGGUCACCUCCCACGUGCUGAUGUCCAAGCAGCUCCAAAACUCAAGAGGUUGUGGGGCUGAAGUGACACAGAUCUUAGCAGGAUGAUGUGGAAGAGUGGGUCACACUUUCAAGAACUCUUCGGAAUGUUUUGUCACCGAAACUUGGACUGUCAGAGUAAAAG